Molecule: ribosomal RNA, 322 nt
Filed under: uncultured Lachnospiraceae bacterium
Lineage: Bacteria; Bacillati; Bacillota; Clostridia; Lachnospirales; Lachnospiraceae
Description: bacterial SSU rRNA
Rfam family: Bacterial small subunit ribosomal RNA
Source: RNAcentral
GAUGAACGCUGGCGGCGUGCCUAACACAUGCAAGUCGAACGGGGUUAAAGAGAAAUUUUCGGAUGGAUCUUUAACUUAGUGGCGGACGGGUGAGUAACGCGUGGGUAACCUGCCUUGCACAGGGGGACAACAGUUGGAAACGACUGCUAAUACCGCAUAAGCCGGUAGAACCGCAUGGUUUAUCCGGAAAAGAAUUAUCGGUGCAAGAUGGGCCCGCGUUGGAUUAGUUAGUUGGCGGGGUAACGGCCCACCAAGACCGCGAUCCAUAGCCGACCUGAGAGGUUGAACGGCCACAUUGGAACUGAGAAACGGUCCAGACUCC